UGCGCUCACUUCUGCAAGUUGCUCUGGAUAAGAGCGUCUGCUAAGUGACUAGAA
Non-coding RNA from Salmo salar (Atlantic salmon), 54 nucleotides. The record is from Rfam. Lineage: Eukaryota; Metazoa; Chordata; Actinopteri; Salmoniformes; Salmonidae.